Molecule: ribosomal RNA, 374 nt
Filed under: uncultured organism
Description: partial 16S ribosomal RNA
Rfam family: Bacterial small subunit ribosomal RNA
Source: RNAcentral
GAAGGUGGCAAGCGUUGUUCGGAAUCACUGGGCUUAAAGCGCGCGUAGGCGGAAUAGAAAGUGUCUUGUGAAAUCCCUCGGGCUUAACCGAGGAAUUGCUUGGCAAACUUCUAUUCUUGAGGCAAGUAGGGGUACAUGGAACUCUUGGUGGAGCGGUGGAAUGCGUAGAUAUCAAGAGGAACGCCAAUGGUGAAGACAGUGUACUGGGCUUGUACUGACGCUGAGGUGCGAAAGCGUGGGGAGCGAACGGGAUUAGAUACCCCGGUAGUCCACGCCGUAAACGAUGUCUACUAGGUUGUGGGUGUUCUGACACAUUCACAGUCGCAGCAAAAGUAUUAAGUAGACCGCCUGGGGAGUACGGUCGCAAAGGCUAA